This 467-nucleotide ribosomal RNA is filed under the name Micrococcineae bacterium CL1.33. RNAcentral's name for it is "bacterial SSU rRNA". It matches the Rfam family "Bacterial small subunit ribosomal RNA", at positions 15 to 495 of the family's 1533-position model. The record is from RNAcentral. Lineage: Bacteria; Bacillati; Actinomycetota; Actinomycetes; Micrococcales.
AUCCCUGGCUCAGGAUGAACGCUGGCGGCGUGCUUAACACAUGCAAGUCGAACGAUGAUCCCAGCUUGCUGGGGGAUUAGUGGCGAACGGGUGAGUAACACGUGAGUAACCUGCCCUUAACUCUGGGAUAAGCCUGGGAAACUGGGUCUAAUACCGGAUAUGACUCCUCAUCGCAUGGUGGGGGGUGGAAAGCUUUAUUGUGGUUUUGGAUGGACUCGCGGCCUAUCAGCUUGUUGGUGAGGUAAUGGCUCACCAAGGCGACGACGGGUAGCCGGCCUGAGAGGGUGACCGGCCACACUGGGACUGAGACACGGCCCAGACUCCUACGGGAGGCAGCAGUGGGGAAUAUUGCACAAUGGGCGAAAGCCUGAUGCAGCGACGCCGCGUGAGGGAUGACGGCCUUCGGGUUGUAAACCUCUUUCAGUAGGGAAGAAGCGAAAGUGACGGUACCUGCAGAAGAAGCGCCG